RNAcentral lists this long non-coding RNA (2567 nucleotides) under Pelobates cultripes (western spadefoot toad). Lineage: Eukaryota; Metazoa; Chordata; Amphibia; Anura; Pelobatidae. The record is from RNAcentral.
UAUGAAACAUUUCUUAUGCAACAGAACAUUUGUUUAAUUUUUGGCGUAAAUCCGUAUUUAAAAAAAAAAAAAAAAUUAAUUGAAAGACAGACGAGUGAAAACAAGACUGUGUGUGUGUAGGUGAAUUCCAUAUAUAUAAAGCAAAGAGCAAGAUGAGCUGUUGAGUCUCCUAUCCUAAGGUAAUACUAGUUUGCCAGGAGUAUAGGAGGUUUUCAGGUAUUCUCACAUUGUUGGAGUGAUUGCUAUAAAGAGUAUGAUGACUAUACCAAUGUGUAAGAAGAUAUUUGUAGUUAUGUUGGGCUAUCAUAAGGAGACAUAUUUCCUGAUCAUUUUUGUACACUGUAAAGGCAGUAGCUUGCAGGCAACCACAUUUUAAAUAGAUCAACUUGUGAGAGGAAUGGUUUUACCCCCUAAAGUACAACAUAUCUUACUGGUCAAUUAUGCUGUAAAGCCUUUCUUGUCAAGUUUUGAUAUAUUUAUUAUUCAGGAUAUAGCAAUACACAAGAAGUGUAGCAAAGGAGUUUAUAGCGACUUGAUCAUUUAGCAUGGUGAGACAUAAAGCACAUUUCCCAGCCACAGGUUGUGUUAUUUUUUGUAGCAAUAACUGUUUGUUUUAUUUGAGUGUUAAUACUGUAAUUCCUUAGAUUAAAUUGUUUGUUCUAUUUUCCCAGUCAACACUCCAUCAGUUAUGGGGGCAGUGGGUAGUAAAAAGCAGAGCAGUGUUUAACAGAAUAAUGUGAUUUGCCUAUCUUUAUGAUGCUACGGUUAAGUAGUAUAUUAAGUUUAAAGGAACGCUAUAGUAAAAGGAAUACAAACAUGUAUUUCUGUCACUGUAGUGUUAAAAGCGCAGUUUAGGCCCUUGGCCCUCCUAGACACUCUUUAAAAAGUUAAAAAGUUUACCUUUAUUCUAACAAUGUGCAGGUCCACCUCCUUGGCUGAGAUCCAUUAGAGUUGACUAUUUUAGCCAAGCCAAUGCUUUCCCAUAGGAAAGCAUUGUAAAGCUAUUACGCAUUUGUGGCAAAAUGAAGCACUGCGCCAAUCAGCAACUCAUAGAGAGUUAUUGAAUCAAUGCAUAUAUGAGGGACAAUCAGCACAUUCAUGCAAAGCGAUGAGACACUGAGUGUGCACACCUCUUAUAUAUGUGGUGUAGCAUUCACUGUUUUUGAUGUGGAAGUUUUGGAUUUAGUGCAUCUCUAUUAGAAUAAGCUGAUUGGUGGGUCAUGGCGCAUGCACCCAAGUUCAGCAAUGCUUUAAAUAGACACCUCAGAGAGUGAACUAGUGGAGUAAGUGUGGAAAGUAUCUCAGAGAACUUUGCUCCAUUUUGGAUUCAAGGUAUGUUUUUAUCUUAUUGUAAUUAUACAUUUAUAUAUAAUUUUUUUUACCAAAAAGUGGGGGGGGACAAAGUGCCCAGUAAGACUACUAUUAAAGUAAAAAAAGUACACCUUUUAAAAUUUGUUUCCUGCUUUGUCUUUCUACUUUUGAAAAUCUGGUUAUAUUUAAGAGGCACACAUCCUAAACCUUUUUUCAACAAAAAUGUAAUUGGGAUGGGCGUCUUUUAUUGCCAUCAGCGAGUGGAAUCUUAGCUAUAGUGCUUGUGAAGGGAAAUAAUGACAUAUUCAUAUUACUAUAUGUAUCCAACUUGGAAUUUUCUUCAAUGAUCCCCAAGAUGAUCUAUUCACUUAUGUGAUGAUGCCCACUGGGAGAAAUACUUUAGAUAUACUUGCCUGAACACCUCUCUUCUUUGAAAUGUUAUUUUCAUCUUCGACUUGCUUAGUGUUUCAGAAGCGACACCACUGGUGUAUUCCCACCUGAGCAACAACACAAAAAGUGGUUGUAUGGAAAAUCCUGUAUUACAGCAAAUACUCAAUAGAUUGUCUUGCUGAGAAGCAAAUGGAUACCAAAGGGAUUUAUUGCACAUUUAGUCUGACGAUGCCUGUUUCCAUUUGUUAGCAUGUAAUCACUGAUGGGAAAUUUCAAGAUAUGCAGGUAGAAGUUGACCCAAACUAUUUUACCGUUUUACAAAUAGUCUUGGCCAUAAAAAGGGGCAAUAUCCAUUUUUGUCUUAUAUCUUCAUAUACUAUAUUAUGAUCAGAAAUAUAACUGAUAUACUUACGCUCCUGUUAACAAAACUUUGACUGAAGGUGAUGGAAGUUGCUGACAAACAAUAAUUUGAAGGCCACAACUUGCUCACAUUUGUCCUUUAUAAGAUUUGAAAACUAGAAACUACUGCAUUUCAGGAUAGGUUCACAGAAUUGUGUUAUCUAGAUAGAUUUGGUUUAAUUAAUGUGCCAUAUUAACACUUGCAGUACGCCAUGGUGUUCUUCCUAUUCACCUAAUUUAAUAAUGCAAAAAGCACAGAAUGUUUUAUGUAUAUGAUUAAAAAAAGAAAACUUUGUUCUAUAACAUGUAUAUGAUUUUUUUGAUUUAAAAAAUGUCAAUUGUUAACUGUGAAUUGUAUCAUAGAUUAAAUUUGUUUUAGAAAUACUAUCUUCGUGUUAAUUUAGAUUUAUUCUGUUUCUAUAAUUAAUUUUGUAAUACACAGUACUGAUAUUUAACGUGACUGAUUG